RNAcentral lists this ribosomal RNA (253 nucleotides) under uncultured bacterium. RNAcentral describes it as "partial 16S ribosomal RNA". It matches the Rfam family "Bacterial small subunit ribosomal RNA", at positions 524 to 776 of the family's 1533-position model. The record is from RNAcentral.
UACAGAGGGUGCAAGCGUUAAUCGGAAUUACUGGGCGUAAAGCGUGCGUAGACGGUUAUGUAAGUCGGGUGUGAAAGCCCCGGGCUCAACCUGGGAAUGCCAUUCGAGACUGCAUAGCUAGGGUGCGGAAGAGGGAAGCGGAAUUUCCGGUGUAGCGGUGAAAUGCGUAGAUAUCGGAAGGAAGACCAGUGGCGAAGGCGGGUCUCUGGACAGUUCCUGACGCUGAGGCACGAAGGUCAGGGGAGCAAACGGG